UUGCUUAUUAUUGCUAAAAUCUGGUUUGUACUAUUUUCUUUGUGCUAAAAUCGAAGUUGGAUGUCUUGAAAUCUGCUGGGUUUUUAAUUUCUUUGAAGGUUAAGUGUUGAGAAUCUCUAUUUGGGCCAUAAAUCUGCUGAAAAUUGAAAUACGAUCUUUGCUUGUGCUAAACCUUGUUGUGUAAUACUAUUUGAGCUUAAAGUUUGUUUUAAUCGGUUGCAUGCUUGAAGAAUUCAACAUUCUUCAUAUUCUGUUAUAGAUGAUCCGGAGGCAAGCAUCUUGAUGCUUUUACAGUUGGCUGUGCCCUUAAUUAAUUGCCUUUCAAAAGCUUUCACUCAGUUAUGCGCAAACUGUUAGGCAAUACUAAUUACUCUCAAAUCUGCAUCUUUACUAUUGUGCAUAGCAUUUAUCUAACAAAAAAGUAAAACUCGCUGAAAUCUAUUGAGGAAGUUAAAUAACUUUUGUUUGUUAUGAAAAUUUAUUCAAACAUGUGGGCAUUUUAUGCUAUCCUGCGUUAUUGUUACGUAGAAAUAGAAUCCUGCUUAGUUGCUUCAGCGACGAGUUUUAGCCUUCUCUUUGCUUUAAUAGGAGCUCUAGUGGACAUGGGCAGAGAGCAAGCAGAGCGUAUCAUUCGUAAUGGGAAUAAAGGUACCACUAAUUUGCCUCUUUGUUGGACUGCUGGCACAGAAAAAUCGGUCUCUGACCAGAACCAAGAACCAAUUGGAAUCUGAAUCUUGACAGGUCAGUGGUUUUUAUAUAGUUUAGAUACCAAAUGAGAGAUUUGUUGAAUAUGCUUCGUUCUCAAUUUCAAGUUCUAAUAUUUAUUUAUAAACGUCAUUUCCUAUUCACUAUAAUGGCAGCCUUACUUUUGUACAGUAUUUUGCUCAUACUUUUUGUAAGGCUUAUGGUUAUCUACGUUCAUAAGAAAAAAAAAUGUAGAACCAGUUUGUCUUUGUUCCAGAAAAUAUAAUGUAAACAUAUUUUGGCUUUGACAUGGAUAUCCAGUUGAAAUGAACUUGUAGCACUUGAAGAUUAUCAGCAUUCCAGUUUAACUUUGUUAGUUUGGUUGUGAGUAGACUGUAAAUUUGACCUUUCUUUUCUCUUAGUUGUUAACACAGAAAGCUAUAUAUGUGAAGUAUUUUGUUCUUCUUUGGUUUUCUAAAGCCAUCUACGUACUGUUCUGCAUGUUUCAAGCUAUUGUAAUUACACUUAAGAAUCAUAGAACAUCAUAUUGCUAUAUUUGGGAUAAAUUUAACUGCUCUUCUUUUUGUAAUUAAAUGGUCAGAAAAGUGAACUAGAAAGUAGAAAUGUAGAAUAGUAUGGCUUGAAUUUGUCAAGUAAACUUUUCGCUAGGAGUCUUCAUGCAACAUCCUGAAGUGACUUGUUUUUCUACUUAUUAUUAAGAGGUAUACUUCCAAUAGUAGAAGAUAGGGGACUAUAAAAAAUUGAGGAAGCAUGCCAAAGUCUGCAGGAUGAUCAAAAUUCUUUUGAGAUCAAACAAACUUAAAAGCUUAAGAUGAUUUUUUGUUACAUUUGAUAAGGCUGCGUACAAUAGACCCUUGUGGUCCGGCUCUUCCCCCGACCCCACACAUAGUGGGAGCUUAGUGCACCGGGCUUCCCUUUUUCGUUUGAUAAAUAAUAUACUUCAAUAUGGAUUUUGAAAUUUUGGUGUCAUUAUCAUAGCUCUUUUGCUGCUUUUUCAUCUAAGAGACCCUUCGUCUAAAUUUUCCUUUUUGAAAAUAUUUUCUUCUGUUGUAAAACCUUGCUUCCAACUGGCCCCUCAGCCUUGAGGUUUAGUCCUAAGCAUGUGCUUAAAAGGAUGCUUGGUUACCAUCCGGACAAGAAGAUUGGUAAUCUUUCAUAUUUUGCAUAUGAAUGAAAGGAAGCUUGCUGACAUUUCCUGCAUAUCAACAGUCAUUUUGCAGGACAAUAAAGUAUUUAAUUUACUAUAGCUUGCUGGCUUUUUGUCUUGUACAUACAUGUUCCAGUGACCUCUAUAGUCACGGAACAAAGCUGGAUUGUCGGUACACCAUGCUGCUCGCUGAUUCACCUGUCGUCUCUCAAUCAUCUUAACCAGUAAGGUCUCAUCUGCAAUUUAGUUUCUUCAGUUUUUCUUGUUCUUGCUAUUGCUGCUUAGCAUUUGCGAAGAAACUGCAGGAUUGGUGCAAAAUAAAAAAAAUGAAAAUAGAUUGCCUAUUUAAUUUAAAGUCUUACCUUUGUUCUCGAUAUUGCAUCUGGAAUGCUGAAAAUGUUCUCAUUUCUCUUUUGGAUUUGCUUAUUCUUGGAAAAUUACACCUGGUUAACAAAAAAGUCAACUACAUAGGUAAAAAUGAUCUGUCCCUAAGAACAGGCAAAUUCAUUCAAGGCUACAAUGCCAAAUAAAAAAGAAAACAGGUAUGUGAAAAGAUUUACAAUUUAGUUCUUAUUUGUUAUGUACACUUCCACAUAUUAAGUCUAGAGUGCUGCAAUCUUAUGAAUUUAUGUGUUACCUGUUGUGUAUUGCAAUAUAUUCUAAGAGAAAUGGGACAAAAUGUUGUAAUGAGCAUGACAGAAACAAGAAACGGAUAAAAAGGGAAAUUAUUUUUUCCUCUUCCAAGUGCAUUUGUUUUUUGUAAUUUACAUGUGAAUUCUCCAAAGCGCAGUAGCAAAGAUAAAUACUUGAGGAAUACCAAGAUUUUUUUAAUAUAUCAACUAAAGAAAAUUUUAUUUAGGGCCUGAAGCAACUUCUUGGCAUUGCUGCAAGAUAAUGAAUGAAGACAAUUCAGUUGUUACACCUGUUGGCAGCAUUACUACUGCUACAACUUCUUGGCAUUUUUUUUUUGAUUAAGCACCGGGUGUCCGGGUCUCUUUGAGCCCCGACUAAUCCCGGGGGUGCACAGGCCCUCGGUAAGGAGUUUCCCGCAAGUGCACCACGGGUAAUUCAGGGUUUUACCCCAGUCCGAUGGCCCUCAGAAAUUGUUUGCACCCAGUGGGUUUCGAACUUGAGACCUUGAAAGGGAGCUACAACUUCUUGGCAUUGCUGCAAGAUAAUGAAUGAAGACAAUUCCACAACUGCCAUAACUGCCAUAUAUACUAUUUUCUUCACAGCUGCCAUAUAAUUAGUUUUUUUUUUUUCGUUGGAUAUUAACUACAAUUUCUUUUCAGGUCAUGGAAGAGUUUAUCCCGGAGGAACUUACUUUUGUUAACAGAUUAAUUCUAGACUUCAGCUGCUAGAAUUCAGAUUCCUGCCAAUUGCAACAUAUCUCAUACAUAUGUUGGACUACCUCCAAUCUCUCUGUUUUUGCCUUUCUAGCAAGCCCUGAAUAACUUUGGUCCACAAAUGAAUGUAAUAUACUAUGAAGCAUAUUAUGUUAAUAUUCAGUUUAAUCAUCUUGCCUUUUUUGCAUCUCAGAAGUGAAAAAAUAGGCACGGUCACGGGUCAUCUAGUUUUUUAUGAAGAGCAACUUAGGUAGUCACUUUAACUUAUCCGUAGGCAGCAGACACUUACACUGGUUACUCUAACUCUUGCAGGGUUGGAACCUUCUAAAGAAUGCUCUAAUUCCAUAUUUGAUUCUUUCAAAAGUCAAGUUAAUCCCAAUGGAGUCAACUGGAAAGGAGUCUCAGAAGAUAUAAGAGAUUUUUAUUUUGGAGAAUUCAAGAAGACAUACUAUUGGGACUCUUCCAUCACACAGGCGGUUGUAUCUCCAUUGGGGAGCAUCUCCAGAGACUUAUGGCAGGUGAAAAGAGGGGUAAGAAAACAAAGCAGGCUAACGAGACAACGGUUCCCCGGAGACCACCAGAAAACCUUGCGAUUAGAAUGUUUGAAUGUUAAUGUUUGGUGGAUUUGUGAAUGUUAAUAAUGUUAUCUCCGAGACAUCCUGAACCACUUGAGUUAACCUUUUGCAUUUGUUUCCAAAUAUGUAGCACGGAAUAGUAAUAAUUUUAUUAAAAAUCUAAUUUCAUCAAUAA
Lycium barbarum (goji berry) is the source of this 3948-nucleotide long non-coding RNA. RefSeq lists it as uncharacterized. Lineage: Eukaryota; Viridiplantae; Streptophyta; Magnoliopsida; Solanales; Solanaceae. The transcript has 5 exons. The record is from RefSeq and is a predicted model, not a curated record.